UGAGAUCAAUGUAUAUCAAGAGCAGAUCAGCCAUCAAAACAAUGCGAACAUUCUAAACUAGGCAGACCAGCCAGUUCACAGUCCAGAUAACAGGUCUAAACCAGCUCAACCAGCCGGUUUAGAUAGUUUUACUUGUUCAACGAUCGCACUGGACUUGGUUCUAGGCCAUUUUCAGGUCCAACAGCGGUCCAGCCUGGUUUGAUGGCAUUGACCGAGACGGC
Molecule: long non-coding RNA, 221 nt
Filed under: Amborella trichopoda
Lineage: Eukaryota; Viridiplantae; Streptophyta; Magnoliopsida; Amborellales; Amborellaceae
Description: long non-coding RNA (ATRI_LNC001814)
Source: RNAcentral